This 393-nucleotide ribosomal RNA is filed under the name uncultured bacterium. RNAcentral's name for it is "partial 16S ribosomal RNA". It matches the Rfam family "Bacterial small subunit ribosomal RNA", at positions 523 to 918 of the family's 1533-position model. The record is from RNAcentral.
AUACGGAAGGUGCGAGCGUUAUCCGGAUUCAUUGGGUUUAAAGGGAGCGUAGGCGGAGCGCCAAGUCAGCUGUGAAAUCCCGCGGCUCAACCGUGGAACUGCAGUUGAAACUGGCGCCCUUGAGUGCACAUGAGGAUGGCGGAAUUCGUGGUGUAGCGGUGAAAUGCUUAGAUAUCACGAAGAACCCCGAUUGCGAAGGCAGCUGUCUGGGGUGCCACUGACGCGGAGGCUCGAAAGUGUGGGUAUCAAACAGGAUUAGAUACCCUGGUAGUCCGCACAGUAAACGAUGGACACUCGUGGUCGGCGACACACUGCCGGUCACCAAGCGAAAGCGAUAAGUGUCCCACCUGGGGAGUACGCCGGCAACGGUGAAACUCAAAUGAAUUGACGGGG